UUACUUAAGAGUUUGAUCCUGGCUCAGGAUGAACGCUGGCGGCGUGCUUAACACAUGCA
This 59-nucleotide ribosomal RNA is filed under the name Bacillota bacterium. RNAcentral's name for it is "partial 16S ribosomal RNA". It matches the Rfam family "Bacterial small subunit ribosomal RNA", at positions 1 to 59 of the family's 1533-position model. The record is from RNAcentral. Lineage: Bacteria; Bacillati; Bacillota.